RNAcentral lists this ribosomal RNA (484 nucleotides) under uncultured bacterium. RNAcentral describes it as "partial 16S ribosomal RNA". It matches the Rfam family "Bacterial small subunit ribosomal RNA", at positions 30 to 507 of the family's 1533-position model. The record is from RNAcentral.
AUUGAACGCUGGCGGCAGGCCUAACACAUGCAAGUCGAGCGGAUGAAGGGAGCUUGCUCCUGGAUUCAGCGGCGGACGGGUGAGUAAUGCCUAGGAAUCUGCCUGGUAGUGGGGGAUAACGUCCGGAAACGGGCGCUAAUACCGCAUACGUCCGGAGGGAGAAAGUGGGGGAUCUUCGGACCUCACGCUAUCAGAUGAGCCUAGGUCGGAUUCGCUAGUUGGUGGGGUAAAGGCCUACCAAGGCGACGCUCCGUAACUGGUCUGAGAGGAUGAUCAGUCACACUGGAACUGAGACACGGUCCAGCCUCCUGCGGGAGGCAGCAGUGGGGAAUAUUGGACAAUGGGCGAAAGCCUGAUCCAGCCAUGCCGCGUGUGUGAAGAAGGUCUUCGGAUUGUAAAGCACUUUAAGUUGGGAGGAAGGGCAGUAAGUUAAUACCUUGCUGUUUUGACGUUACCAACAGAAUAAGCACCGGCUCACUUCGUG